GUGCUCAUUUUGGCAGCACAUAUACUAAAAUUGGAAUGAUACAGAGAAGAUUGGCAUGGCUCCUCUGCAAGGAUGAUGCACAAAUUCAUGAAGCAUUCCAUAUUUUU
Molecule: small nuclear RNA, 107 nt
Organism: Dasypus novemcinctus (nine-banded armadillo)
Lineage: Eukaryota; Metazoa; Chordata; Mammalia; Cingulata; Dasypodidae
Source: Ensembl